GUGCUUGCUUUGGCAGUACCUAAAGUUGGAACAAUACAGAGACUAUUAGCCCCUGCACAAGAAUAACAUGCAAAUUCAUGAAGCAUUAAAAUAAUAA
This 97-nucleotide small nuclear RNA is filed under the name Zalophus californianus (California sea lion). RNAcentral also lists the same sequence under 2 other names. Lineage: Eukaryota; Metazoa; Chordata; Mammalia; Carnivora; Otariidae. The record is from RNAcentral.